GUGGGUCGGCACAAGGGUCCUUCUAAGGACAAGAGGAGGCAAAAGAGCCAGAGGAAGAACCAAAGAGAAGGGGGCAUGAAAGGCACUCAGCUCACUGUUUCCGACUUUGAAGAUGCAGGACCAGCGCCAGGGAAUGCAGACGGCCACUAGAAGGUAGGAAACACGGAGAAACAGAUGGUUUCCUAGGGCCUCCAGGAAGGAACACAGCCCACUGACACCUUGAUUUUGACCCAGAGAGACCCACCUCAGACUUCUGACCUCCAGAACUGUGAGAGAUUCCAGGCAGGGAAGUAACGUGCCUGACAUCCAUGGAACCAGUUCCUCCCAGAGGUGGCACUGCUGACUCUCCGUUCACAGCCACUUACACUACCGUCCCUGCAGAAAUGGGGUGCUACAGAGAAUGUCCUUAGCAAACUUUCAGAGACAAGGCUAUUUUAGAGUGCAAGAGCAAAAACCCAUUCAACCCGGCAAAAAUCACAGAGUCUUAGAAAGAAUCAGGAUCUUACAGAGCUCCAGUCAGGCCUCAUUGGGAACUGGAACCAGCAAUUGGAAAAGCAGCAGGAACCUAGACAGUUAUUGUCCCUCGUGUGGGUGUGUGUAUUUGUCUCCAGGCUACUUUCUCUCUGCUUCCCUUUGCACAUGAAGCUGCAGGAGCAGGAACCUGGUCAGCCCUUUCGGUCAGGUGUCCACCCCUUCUCCCUCCAGGAACGAGCAGGGAGCGGAGCCAGUUGUAGAAACAUGGGUACGGGGUUACCUUACAACGGGCGAGAUAAAAAUAAAUGCAAGAAUAUCUUUUUCUUGGAAAAUGUCCAACUAAUAAUAUGUGAAAUUAGAAAGAGUUACCUUACAACUGGCGAGAGUUCUGGAGAGAAAUUCUCAGAAACGGGGCAUGUUGUUAGGGUCCUUCCCUUAAGAUUUUGUCUUAAAUAUGUGGAAUACUCGCAGGGAGGAAAAUGGGACGGGUGGAGUAGAACAGGUGAUUUUUGCUUUGGUAGAGGAUUUUCUGUUAACCACUUUACCUGAACAUCUAAGAAUCGUUUCAAUUACUCCAGAAGAUAUCAAAAGCAAAACUCCAAAAUUUCCCCAUAAUUUCUUCUAAAAAGGAUAAUCUAAUGCCACCCCCUUCAGUUACCACAGGAUGCUGUCCCAAGAAUGCUCAGAAGGGUUCCUGGUCCCUUAAAAGAGCAAAGGUGGGGGGAUGGAGUGUGAAGGUGCGUGGGGAGGACAAGAGGUAUGCAGGAGGGUGGAGGGGACCUGCUUUGACUCAGGAGGUCACACAGCAGAUCAGCGAAUGACAGAGGAUGAAGUAGGCAGUGAGAAAUGGAAAGGAGAUCAUAAAUGAAACUACCAUAUAAACAUGAUAAGCCAACAGUACAAACGUGAUAAGCCAACUAAAAUCAGCUUCUUAUUUGAAAUUUAAAUAUUAGAAUUUCACUGCUGUCUACAGCUGAUGCAGAAAGUUUUCCAAAGACCACACAUGUGGUGUUGGUACAUUUGGAAUAGCAAUUUGCCAAGGGAAAGUUGAGCUUCUUAGACUCAGCAUACAAUGAUUAAGCGCAGGAAAUCAAAUAGCGGGUUGAAGCCAAAUUUUACAUGAGCUUCAAGUAUAAGCUAUUAAAAGAGUCUGAAAAGUUAUGUUUUUUAUUUUAAAAUGCAUAACGGCAUUAUCCAAUUCAAUAAAUUCUCCAUGAGUAGUCAAUGACAUCAAAUGUUCUCUUAUGGAGAAAACAUCAGAAUAACCAGUCCUAUUCCUCACUGAAAACAUAAAAAGAAUCCACAACAAAGCCUUGUCCUAAGGGAGAAAGUCACAGUAAAUAUGCCUCUAGGCUGCCGCCAGUUGUGUUUUCCUUGUUAAGGGUUGCUAGCUAAAUACCACUGAUAAAAGUAGGAAACCGUCCCCAAGGCUUUAACUUGAUUUAUAGCAAUGAUGACACGUGCUCAACACCCAGGAUCCCUCAAGAAAGACACCUGACAGGGCCUUUGGUCGCCUUUUUCUGCAGGAAGAAAGUUUGAGGACGGUGGCUAACUGCCGCCGGGGACCUACGUCAGAGCUUGAACUGACCUCCCCUCAAGGGUUCUCAUAUGGGCACAGAACCUAGAGCUCAUUCAGUGCAACGCCCUCAUGUUCCUGGGUGUCUGUCACCGGUUCUGUGUCUACUGAUGCGCAGGCAUAAAUCUCCAAUUUUUCAACAACUUAUUUACAGAAAGAAUCGCGAAGCCGCUGACCUCAGACUCGCAUCUCUGAGGAACCUGACUUUGGACUUUAGCCUACGUGUUAAACCUCAGGAAAUUUUAUACAUGAGCAAGGAACACAGGACCCAAGACAAGCAGACUGAUCGUCAAGCCGCUGUCUCAAUUUUUUUAAAUGUUCUUGAGAACAUUUGACGUGUUCUUCGAGCCAA
This is a long non-coding RNA of Equus caballus (horse), 2402 nucleotides long. The record is from Ensembl. Lineage: Eukaryota; Metazoa; Chordata; Mammalia; Perissodactyla; Equidae.